Molecule: ribosomal RNA, 492 nt
Filed under: uncultured bacterium
Lineage: Bacteria
Description: partial 16S ribosomal RNA
Rfam family: Bacterial small subunit ribosomal RNA
Source: RNAcentral
AGUGAACGCUGGCGGUAGGCCUAACACAUGCAAGUCGAACGGCAGCACAGUAAGAGCUUGCUCUUACGGGUGGCGCGUGGCGGACGGGUGAGGAAUACAUCGGAAUCUACUUUUUCGUGGGGGAUAACGUAGGGAAACUUACGCUAAUACCGCAUACGACCUACGGGUGAAAGCAGGGGAUCUUCGGACCUUGCGCGAUUGAAUGCGCCGAUGUCGGAUUAGCUAGUUGGCGGGGUAAAGGCCCACCAAGGCGACGAUCCGUAGCUGGUCUGAGAGGAUGAUCAGCCACACUGGAACUGAGACACGGUCCAGACUCCUACGGGAGGCAGCAGUGGGGAAUAUUGGACGAUGGGCGCAAGGCUGAUCCAGCGAUACCGCGGGGGUGAAGAAGGCCUUCGGGUUGUAAAGCCCUCUUGUUGGGAAAGAAAAGCAGCAGGUUAAUACCCCGCUGUUCUGACGGUACCCAAAGAAGAAGCACCGGCUAACUUCGUG